GAUGAACGCUGGCGGCGUGCCUAAUACAUGCAAGUCGAGCGAACAGACGAGGAGCUUGCUCCUCUGACGUUAGCGGCGGACGGGUGAGUAACACGUGGAUAACCUACCUAUAAGACUGGGAUAACUUCGGGAAACCGGAGCUAAUACCGGAUAAUAUAUUGAACCGCAUGGUUCAAUAGUGAAAGACGGUUUUGCUGUCACUUAUAGAUGGAUCCGCGCCGCAUUAGCUAGUUGGUAAGGUAACGGCUUACCAAGGCGACGAUGCGUAGCCGACCUGAGAGGGUGAUCGGCCACACUGGAACUGAGACACGGUCCAGACUCCUACGGGAGGCAGCAGUAGGGAAUCUUCCGCAAUGGGCGAAAGCUUGACGGAGCAACGCCGCGUGAGUGAUGAAGGUCUUCGGAUCGUAAAACUCUGUUAUUAGGGAAGAACAAAUGUAUAAGUAACUAUGCACGUCUUGACGGUACCUAAUCAGAAAGCCACGGCUAACUACGUG
RNAcentral lists this ribosomal RNA (497 nucleotides) under uncultured bacterium. RNAcentral describes it as "partial 16S ribosomal RNA". It matches the Rfam family "Bacterial small subunit ribosomal RNA", at positions 28 to 507 of the family's 1533-position model. The record is from RNAcentral.